AACGCACAUUGCGCCUCCUGUUACAGGGAGGCAUGCCUGUCUGAGCGUCAUUUAAACCCAAUGUCGACCGCAUACUUUUGCCGUCGGCGUGUUGGGCCCUCGUUGGACUUGGUUUCGACGUGGCCUCGAAUCCAUCGGUCAAGUUGAGCGGACGAGAUCCUCUGGGACAGAGACCGUUCAUGAGACCCUAAAGACAUCUGAAUUUUGACCUCAGAUCAGGUAGGGACACCGCCUGAACUUAA
Molecule: unclassified non-coding RNA, 242 nt
Filed under: uncultured Archaeorhizomycetales
Lineage: Eukaryota; Fungi; Ascomycota; Archaeorhizomycetes
Description: sequence contains 5.8S rRNA gene, ITS2, 28S rRNA gene
Source: RNAcentral